Molecule: ribosomal RNA, 444 nt
Filed under: uncultured prokaryote
Description: bacterial SSU rRNA
Rfam family: Bacterial small subunit ribosomal RNA
Source: RNAcentral
UGAGGAAUAUUGGACAAUGGCCGGAAGGUUGAUCCAGCCAUGCCGCGUGCAGGAUGGCGGCCCUAUGGGUUGUAAACUGCUUUUACAUGGGAAGAAACCUCCCCUCGUGAGGGGAGCUGACGGUACCAUGAGAAUAAGGACCGCCUAACUCCGUGCCAGCAGCCGCGGUAAUACGGAGGGUCCGAGCGUUAUCCGGAAUCAUUGGGUUUAAAGGGUCCGUAGGCGGGCCUGUAAGUCAGGGGUGAAAGGCCACGGCUCAACCGUGGGACUGCCCUUGAUACUGCAGGUCUUGAGUUAUGGUGGGGUUGCCGGAACAUGUGGUGUAGCUGUGAAAUGCAUAGAUAUCACAUAGAACACCGAUCGCGAAGGCAGGUGACCAACCAUAUACUGACGCUGAUGGACGAAAGCGUGAGUAGCGAACGGGAUUAGAUACCCCGGUAGUCC